Molecule: long non-coding RNA, 1370 nt
Filed under: Anser cygnoides (Swan goose)
Lineage: Eukaryota; Metazoa; Chordata; Aves; Anseriformes; Anatidae
Description: lncRNA (ENSACDG00005014123.1)
Source: RNAcentral
CCAUGAAAAUUGCUGAGCCGAGAUGCUGGCCACUCUAAGAUGCUUUUCUUCUGCUCCAUCCAUUUGCUUUAAUCACAUGGUGAAUGAAAAAAAAAAGAAAAAAAAAUCCAGUUCACAAAGCAUCGAAGAUUUAAAAAAAAAAUGACCGCAGCAUUAAAAAAGGAUAACUGGAGUCAAUUAAAAAGCUCUUCCAGGCUGCCAGUGUUAAUAGCUGUCCAGGAACACAGAGACCCCCCUCCACCUCUCUGCCGUCUGCUGAACCGCCGAGUGAGUUAUUGUCAGUCCUGGCAGCAGAGCUCAAGCAGAGAUUUCUGCACCUCGUAUGUGGCUGGGCACAGCUUGCUCGGCUGUGCUCGGCUUGGCAUCGUCCUCUGCAGGGCUGAGGCUUUGCUACAGCCUGGCCCUGCGUCCCCUCCUCUCCUAGGACAGCGCCGCUCCGAAAUCGAAUGGGAUCUGCAUCUCGGACGAGGCCGGGAGCACCUGCCUGCAGCUUGUGAGUUGUUAUUUGUGGUUUCGUAUCGAGCUCGCUGAAAAUGAUGGUUAAACACAGGUGGGAGGGGAGGCUGGCGAGGAGGCUUUUUCCUUUGGCUCUUUUUAAAAGCAAAGCAAAAGGCUUCAAAAAGUGUUCGGCUUCAAAAUUGCAAAGGAAGGAUGGGUUGGAGAGGAGGAACUAAGAAAUCAAGUGUCUGAAACCUGCUGUGGAGAAAGCAAUGCAAAAUGUUUUGUUUCAAGGUGAAUGGAAAGCUGAAACCAGCAGAAAAUCCCCCCCCUCCCCAUGAGCACAGAUGUUUCGGGUUGGUUUUUCUAGAUUAGCACAUUGCUGGAAGAAAAGAAAAUCCAUUCUUUUCUCUGUCGGCGCUCCAGGUUGCUGUCGCUUAUUUUUAUCACGUUGUAGUGACUUUGAUCUCUGAAGACUCCUUAAGUGCUUUACAAAUCAAGCAUGCAAAUCUGGGCUCAUCCACCUCUGAGAUGCCGCCACGGCCAGGGCAUCCUGCCGGUGUGGUGCCAUGCUUCUGAAAACCUCCAGCACCCUGUGCACCUGUGUCACGGGGACAUUUUGUGCUUCCAACACAGCCAGGAACUGGUGCGAAGGCCACUGGGCUGUGCUGGGGUCCCUGAGUGGUGCCAGCCCUGCUCCUCCCAUGCAAAGGAGGUGGCUUUUGCCCCGCCCUGCACCCGAACUUCUGGGAAAUUGCCACAAACCGACCAGGAGCAGCUGAGCUGGUUUGAUGAAACGGGUUUUAUUUUCAAAGCUUGACUUGAAACACCUCUUUCCCCAUCAUACUCUCUCUAUAUCACUCUCUCCCCGUGUGUUUGCCCUUCUGACUGGCAAUGCCACCAGGGCCCCCCCCCCCCCCCCCCCCCCACAC